CUGGAAGCAGGGUCUGAUAUUGCUCUAGGUUAACUGUGCAGACCUAGAGAGGACAGACUAGAAGCCAGACAUGACAUCAUGAUACACUGAAUGUAAUAAGGAUUUCAUUGGUAUUAAUAUUAGACAAUAAUGCCCAAGAGCAGCUGGUAAUUAGACAGGACAGCUGCUGAUGCCAGCCAUUAGUAAUGUUGAUCUAUUUGCUCUAAAAAAGAAAAAAAAAGUAUUGCAGAUGUUUCCCUGUCAACUUUGUUUUGGUUCUAAUAGACUCAAUAGCUCUUCUCUUCCACUGAAGGUAAAAAGUUCAACCCCUGCAUAAUAGACUUAGAUUGUUUGACUUGCCACAGGAUGUUCUUAUUUCUUUUUGUGUUUAGCCUAGGGCUGUAAAUCACAAACACCAGCCUGCGUAAUUCUGACUUUUAUUACGUUAAUGUAUUUUAAGAGCAGGAAAUCUAUAGGCUCUUGGCUCAGCUCAGCAAAAGCAAAGCACGGUGGGGACUCUGUCGUCAGGAGCAUUCUCAGAAAUGUGCCUCCUGCUGCAAAGGUGACCUCAGGAUAAACUUUGCUUAGCUUUCGGUCAGGGGAAGGAAGGAGCUCCCCACUUCUUAGCUCAGGUGGCAGCUGGGCCUCCUCUAGGAGGAGGAACUCAUUUUGUGAGAGUAGUGAGGGAGGGAAGAGUGGAAGAGCUGGUGGUACUGGCACUGGAGCUUCAGUGCUGAGUCCAGCUUGCAGAUGCAGGAUCCUGUUUGCUCAUCAUUGCAGAGCAGCAGUGGCAUAGCCAAGGGAGCAGCUGAGAGCCCCUGACUCAUAAACCUGGUGCUGUUUCCACUUGGGUCCAGGUGGCAGCACAUAAACUCUGCCCAGUCUCUUCAGGGAAAAAACAGAUCACCUAAGUGCAGACAUUGAUAGCCUGGCUCAGUGGUGUGCCCCUGAUCAUCUCCUGAGCUGCUUCUUUUCAGGUAAUAUCUGCAUUUGCACAAAGGUAAUGCAGCUUCACAGAGAAGGGGCCCCCAGAGAAGGACCUGUGUGCUCCUGCAGAUCACACAGGUGGGCUGGGGGCAGGCUGGAAUGAGGAUGCACAAAAAAACAAGUAAGUAGUUGAAAACCAUCUCUGUCUCACAUGCUCUGCUCUAGGACUCAUUUCUAUUCUUUGUUGUAUGCAUUAUUGCUUUUUGGAUGUUAGCAGGGACUGGGGAGGCAUAGCUGCAACUUGUCUUCAGAGUUCUAUAGGCAGGUGAGACCUCCAGGGACUACACCCUGAGAGCUGCUGCCUGACAUCCCUUUCUGGUGAGAUGAGAUAGAGGGACUAUGUGUAGAGAUAGCAUCCAUCUCAGCUUCCUUGGUCUGCUUCAAUGCCAUAAGCUAUGCUAAAUAAACUGCAGGUGAUCCAAGAAGCUCUACUCAAGCUUCACUGAGCAACGAUGACAUCCUGGCAUGCAAAGCUGGUCUUUGCUUGCAGUGGAAACAGUUCUCAUGAUUGUGCAAAAUCUUGUGUUUGGUGGAUAUAAUGAUAAUGAACUAAUUUGUGUCAACAGAUUUCUUUAUGACCUUGUUGUUUUUCCCUUUUCUUUUGCCCACCUUGUGCUUUCUUAAUUUGUAUGGAGGCAGGGGAGAGAAAUCCUAUUGAUAAGCACUUUGUCUGUAGAGCCAGGGCUCCAGUUAAGGCUAACAAACUCUAUGUUGCUCUGCCUGGGGACAAGAAUUCCCCAUGUGAAAAGCCUAACAUGAGAGAGUGGUUCUCUGGAGCUUAAUGGGAUGCAGUGCAUGUAUGAAGUCACUGAUGAACAUCAAUGUUUUCAGAAGCAAUUUUCAACAAGGAUCCAUCUUUUUGAAGGCAUACAAAAUGGAUUUCUCCUUUUUUAUUGCUUUUGAAUAUCCUACUGCAAGGCUGCUGCUCUUCAGUUGUGGAUGUAUGCUUGAGUUUAGAGUCAUUUUACUCCUCUUGAUCCUUCUCAUUCACAAGGACUCUGCCUAUUCAGGUGUGCCUCGGGUAAGCGAUGCUGAACAGCUGUGGUAAUCAUAUUAUGAGGCUGUGUUUUAACCUUUCUUUUAGCUCUUGUGUGCUGUGAGAAUUACAGCAAACUGGGCUGCGAUAGAAACGCUGCAAAAUGGAAGUUGAGAGGAGAACUUCUUCAGUAAAAGGAAAAGGGUAGGGGAAGGGUUGCAGGAGAGAAGGAGAUUUGAACAAAAUCUCCAGAUUCAGCCUCUAAAGAGGAGGGGUAGUGGAAGCUAAUGCAGUGAAAUGAGCUGUAACAAAGCCAUGCCAGGAAUUAUUCAGCUGUUCACAAGAAUUUUAGAAGAACUGUAAUUGGGAAAUGAUGUGAAUAUCAAACAAAAUGUCACUUGCUGGAAGCCUCACAAGGAGGGGGAAAUAAAAUGAUGAAAGUGCUGCAUUACAUGUCACCCUCUUAGGCACGCUCUGAAAGAGUUCCCUGCUCCCCACUUAGACCCUUUGACAUGCUAUUGUGUGGCUUUGUGUACUUCUGAGCGGGGUGGUUCUCUGCAGAAGAAAUUAAAAUGACGGGAAAGCUGGCUUGUCACAUUAAAUAACAUCACAUGCUUUUCUGCUGGGGAGAAAAACAGAAAGAAAUACUCUGCUGAGUUCCAGGAAAAUAGCUGCUGAGGAAAUGAGUGUGGCAACUCCGUCCCCUCACCUGGAAAGUAACAGUUGUGCCAGUAUGGGGAAGCACUGGCAGGGCUCAUGGCAGACCCGAGUUUCUGCUGUUUGCUGCAGACUUGAUGUCCACAUCACAGAUCUCUCUGGCUGUCCAUAAUGACCUUCCAGCCUAAAUGCUGGUUUUCUAUUUUACUUUCUUAACAUUUGAAGUGCAUUUCUAAAUACUGGGAAGAUUUGCCACCAGCAUUUCCUGCUUUUGUUUAUUGAUUUCUUCUUUUUCUCCAAAUUCCCUGCCUGUCCUUCUUUGGAAACAUGUCCUCUUGGAAGCACCAUCACGGCUGGAUUGCACCGUGAGGUCCCCAUGGUGUUCUCUUUGGCACUCACAGUAGUGUUUCCAUUUGGAUGACCUAUGUGUUCUUGGUCUCUUUGAUUUAGUGCAACCCUUUGUGCAGAAACACGGAGAAACAUCCCUCUACACAUAGAAAUGGAAUCAUUAAGGCUGGGAAGGACCACUAAGAUCAUCUAGUCCCACCAUCCACCUACCACCAAUAUUGCCCACUAAACCUUGUACCUAUGUACCACAUCCACAUGCUUCUUGAACACCUCCAGGGAUGGUGACUCUACCACCUCCCUGGGCAGCCUGUUCCAGUACCUCAUCACUCUUUCUGAGAAGAAAUUUUUCCAAACUAUCCAAUUUGAACCACACAUUGUGCAAUUUACAGCCAUCCCUUCUUGUCUUGUCUCAUGGAGACCAGGGCAGUCACUGAGCCCUGAGUUUGGGAAGAGGAGGAGGCAUUGGCCAGAUCUGCUCUGAGCUUUACCCAAGUGAAAGGAGAAGAUGAAAAGGUGGGGGAGAAGGGAGAAGGUGAGAACUCUGUGGAGGAGGUCACAAGGUCUGUGACUGAGAAGUCAUGAAAAGCGCUCCUAUUUUAGUUAGGAUUUCUCAGUGGUCUCUCUCUCAUAUCUGCAGUCACCAGGAUCUUAGAGGGUAAUAUGGCUUUCCUUUGGCUUUGGUGCUGGGGCUCUAUUGGGGAAAAGGUAUCUCAAUACAGUGCUGUAAAAAAGUGAGUUAUCAGAAAUAUAUAUAAAAAAUCAUAGUGACAAUCCAAACACUGUUACACACCCAUCAUGUUUAGGUGAUUUUUUAGGAAACUCUUCUGGCAAACAAUUUUAAGAGCUGGAAUAGGCAUUCCUAUCUUUCUCUAUAAACCACUUCGAAUAUUUACCAAUUUAUUUCUUAAGAUAAUGCUUCUAAAGAGCAAAACACUCAAAGCCCUCUUGCAUUUUUGCCUCACCUGCAUGUCUUCCCAUGUAGACCUGGGAGACACUUGCUAGCUUUAAAAGAAGGAAAAAGUAAAGAAAAGCACUAUCUUGCAGUGAGCUGUAGAGCCUGAGGCCUCAAAGUAAGAUUUUAAGAUUUCACUCUGGUUUCUCCUAAUCUGUCUUUGAAUGUGUUUUUCUGUUUGUUUUCUAUCUAUCUAUAUUUAACAUUUUGUUGCUAUUUCCAGUUAGAGAAGUGUUGUGUCUGAACAGGGACACAGUUACCACAAAACAUGUGCGCAAGCACAGGACUGUGAGUGGACACAGCUCUGUACUUGGCUGCUGGUGUUGGUUUAUGUAGCAGCAGGGGUACAUAUAUAACCUCAAAGCAGGUGUGGUGGAGCAUUCUGCAUGGUUAAACCCAAGCUGUAAUUCCCAGCUGAAGUAUCAGAGGGGAGGUGGUCAGAAGGAGAUGGAGUAGCUCUGGGAAGUGAAUUGGUCUGUCAUUACAUCAAAGGAGGGUCAGACUGGGGAUUAGGAAAAGGUUCUUCACCAGAGGGUGGUCAGGCAUGGAACAGGCUCUCCAGAGCAAUGGGCAUGGCACCAAGCUGCCGGAGUUCAGGAAGUGUCUAGACAACAAUUUCAGACAUAAGGAUUGUUUGGGUGGUGAGACACUGGAACAGGUUGCCCAGCGAGGUUGUGGAUGUCCUCUUCCUGGAAGCAUUCAAGGCCAGGCUGGAUGGGACUUUGAGCAACGUGGUCUAGUGCAAGAUGUCACUGCUUAUAGAAGGGUGGUUGGAACUAGAUGAUCCUAAAGGUCCCUUCCAUCCCAAACCAUUCUAUGGUUCUUGGUUGGCCCUGUGAGGAGCCAAGAGUUGAACUCAGUGAUCCCUAAGGGUCCCUUCCAUUUUGAGAUGUUCUGUGCUUAGCGUGGAUAUUUGGAUCCCAAAAAGGGAUGCCCAGUCUAAGGGUGCUGAAGAGUAAUUUUGCAUGUAAAAGACCCGAAGAAAUAGUUUAUUCAGGGAAUAAGCACAAGCUGGUAGAAAAAAAAAAAGAACAUGCGGUAUGUGGUGCUGGUCAGCAUUAGCAGACAGCCUCAACUUCCUCAACUUGAGGAAGCUGCAGCCAGCAAGGAGCAGCAAGGCCAAUGGUCUCUCACUUUGCUUAUGUCACGCGUUGUUUAUCAAGGAAUGCAAAGCAGUGGUGCUAGAUCUUCAUGUUAUGACUCACUAACAUACACUCCAGCAGACCUUCACCCAGAAUCUUUGCCUGGGUAGUGCCCAUUUUCCCAUCCAUUAAAUUUUUUCUGUGGUUUUUUUUUUUUUUUAUUUUUUAUUUUUAUUUUUUUUUUAUUGCAGUGGUUGAUCCCUGUGGCUGAGAGCAAACCGUCAGGAUUUCAGGUGGCAUCUCACAUGCUCAUGGAGCUGGGCACCUGGCAGAUGGCAGAACAGUGUUCAGCUGCCCCAGUGUAGCAAGGCGAGUGCUGACCUGUGAAGCACGUUCAGUAUUCUGCAGUGGGGGAAUUUUCAUGCAGUCAAACCUAUAAACUCAGUGGGCCAGGCUGCUGUAAAUAUUUUUAAUCCAGGUCCACACAGUUAGCUUCACAGGUCCAGUGUCUGAUCAGAAGUACAAACUAUUCCAAGGAACCAUCUUCGCAAAUAGGCUUAUGUAUAAUCAAUAGCUUGGUGCAUGUGCGUGCACAAAUACUCAUUUAGUUAUUCUGGUCUGUGAAUGCAUGCAUUAACCUGACCGCCUGGUGCUACCCCAGCCUCCCUCCCCUCUCUGCAAACAGGAAAACGGAAUGCAUUCAUUGAUUUCGCUGCUUUGAUUUAUUUGCCUGGCUCUAAUCUCUGUGCAAGAUAAGACUGCUGAGAAUUGUCAAAUUGCAUGCUUUGGAGAAUUGAAGAGGCCAUUUCCUCUCUAUUUCCUACAUUAUAAGAUAAUGUGAGAUACAUGGUAGCAUCCUCCGCCUCCCCACAAAGCAUCAGUUAAUGGAUCUAGCUUUUAGUGUCACUGCUUUGUGCCAGUACGCACCAUCAUUUAUGCCCUGAGAAACUAAAUAGGUAUUUAUCACUGGUGGAAGACAAUUGAACUUCAAGUAAACAGAACGAAAUACCUACCGGCCCAUUUUCUUGGGAAAGUCUGUCCCUGAGUUAGUAAAAACACUAACUGUUUCUGGUGUUGGAGGCUUGUUUAAUUAGCAUUUUGGGUUCUGUAUCGUGUGGGCUGCUGCUUUUGGUGGGUUACUGCUUUCUAUCCCCUCCCCACCCUUCGUCCAAUACUGCCUCUCAGUGUUGUACGUCAUCUGGUGUUGAAGGGGGUCCCAGCUAUCAAGUACUACAGGAGCUGUUGGUUAAGCAGCAGCUGACUUUCAUGCAAAGAAGGGCUUAUUUUUAUUUCAGGGGAGGGGAAGGGACUUGUAUCACUGCCAGCUGUGGGCAAGCACUGAUCCAGCCAUUUGCUGCGGCUGGGUGGCUCUCCCAUGUCAUGGCACAACCAGACCGCCCCCAGGCCGGAGCUGUGAAGAAUAGCCUGUGGGGAAGGAGAUUUGGUGUCAGCAAAGAGGAGGGGAAGAAUAGAUAGAAACGUGCUCAGGGAGAGAGAGAGCCAGAAGGGAAAGUCGCGGGUAGGGGAGGUCUUCCAUACUCUCCUAUGAGUCCACCUAGAGAGUUAAUGGGAUGGUCUGUGUAGCCAUGCACCCAAGGGAAGAGACCUGCUGUGCUGAAACGGUGGGGAAAAAGGAUGAGGAUGCUGAAAUACCCACAGGACCUUCUGCUUUAUCUCAUGGCUGAUGAACUGCACAGAGUUUGGGCAAACUUUGGGGUUUUGUACUCUAUUGACAUCACUCCUUGGAGGAGAGCACCUCCUCACAGAUAAAGGCUAAGCUGCGGGGAGUUGGGGCAUUUCUCUGUCAAAAGUCUGUCCUGGGUACUUCCCAUCAACCCCAGGGUCGCAUCAACAGCACUGAAGUUGCUAGGUUUGGGUUUGUUAGGGAAAAAAUCCCAACAAAUUAAAGCAGAUCCAAUGUCUCCUUGCCAGCACUUGCUGCAUUUGGCCUUGGUGAAUUAAUUUGAAAAGUAGUGAUGUGUAAUGGUAUGUGACACGUUCUCAUAUCCUUGGGACAGCUGCGUGCACUGGAGAAAUGCAGCUUCCUUCUGAACACAGCGAGAAAGAAGGGGAAAAAGAGAGGGGGGACUGUUACGAACAGCAUUAACAUAGCUUGGGGAUGAGAUCAUCCUCUCCUGUGCACCUGGGAGCUGGGAGGGUUCGUUAAAAAAACUGUUUAGUCAUUUCAGUGAGGUGGAAGAGCACUGCUCUCUUCUGGUAAUGGGUUUGGAGGAGGAGGAGGCAGCAGUGCUGCUAGUCAGGGGCAGCUUGCAGCCCCUGGCAUGCUGCCCAGGAGGUGCAGGUUCCGAUAUAAAUCCUUCCUUAAGUGCCUUCCUGCUUUGUAAAUGCUUCAUUUAAGACAAAACCUGCAAAAUUCCCACACAGCUGACGUUCUAGCCUCCUGGCCUUCCCUGUAUGACUUCUCAGUGAUUUCUAAUGCUGGCUAAAUGACAGGUUCCACCUGCAGCUGGGGACCAGCACCAACAACCAUCACCUGGACUUACCUAAGGAAGGAAUGUGUUCGGUGCACAAAGUAACCCCUGCGUUUCCCUGUAAUUGCAGCAACUGUGUGUUGGACAGAUGGCCAACCCCCAGCAUCAUGUCAGGGGAGUUCUGCUUAGUUUUCUGUGCACCCAGCUUUAAUUACAGCUCUUCCAGACAUAUUUAUUCUAAGUUAACUGCGAUGAUUCUGGAGCUGCAUCAGAAUAAGAUGCUCCUUCCCAGCAGCACCUUCUGCUCGCUUCCCCUAGCUGGGAAUGCCUUCCUGAUGCUCCUCAGGCAGACUUAGCUUGAUGUUUUACUCCCAUCUAGUGCUUCUUUAUUAAAACUGCUGGUGCUCUGCGUCUCGCACAGGGCUGAGCAAAUGCUAUCUUGUCUCUAACCUGGUGGUGUCUGCUCAGGAUACAUAAACUCUGUUAAACACGAGUGACUCGCAGCCUGCCCUGCCAGGACUGAGCAUCUCACGGCCCGACAGGGCAGGUCAUGAGCCUCACUGGCAGCUGGGGGUCAGCACUGCCCCAGCUGCGUGCCAAGGGAUUGCCGGAGAGGGUUAGACCUCCUUUCCCCAUCGUUUCUUCUAGAGAUGAGGAAGCAAACCUUCCCCAGCCACUGAGCAUUUGAAUGCGUGGGCACCACUGGACGAAGUGAAUAUUGUCACUGAGGAAGGCUUUGGACUGUGGGACCAGGUCCCAUUGAUUUAGAAUGAAAGUAAGUGUCUUAAGUGUGUCAAAUACUCAGAAACCACAGGCACUUCCGGGAGUCUUAUUCCCUGUCUUUCCUUUUCCUUUCAUGCUGUUUUGGUACCAAGGUGCUUUUUCUUUUUCCUUUUUUUAAAUUGACUUUUUUAUGUCUUUCUGUUCCUUCUAAUCAAAAUUCUAACUGAGCCUUCUCUUUGAACUAAUUUAUAUGAUGAAUGUUUUAGGAGUGUGAUGAGGAAAUACGGAUAAUCUUAGGCUUGUGAUUGAAUAUUUACAGGCAUAAUACAGGCUUCAAGCCAUCUCUAAGUGUUUGGCAGCCCAUGCCUGACCGAGGAAAUAAGCACUCAGGUAAGAUGACCAACUCUCAUUAAAAUUUAGUGAAGGUCAUUAGUUUGCUCUUACUUAGUGAAUUUUCCCUGGGUGACAUAUUGCCCAACGGGGUAUGAUAGCAUAAAUAUGGAAUUUUAGUAUGUGUUUUUUGAAGAUGAGCAAAGCAGGCAGAUGGGCAACUGGGGCCUUAACAUCACUAUAGCUAUCUCUCUUGAUUAAACUGUUAGCACAUUAAUUAAAAUUACUCUAGGGAGCACGUGCAUGGGGUGGGAAAACUGGCAAUCAUGCCAGACCACAGGUGGAGGUGCUGAGUUCUGGGCAGAGCAGCUUUAGGUAGGUAAGCACUCAUCUGGUGGGUUCCUGCACCAUUGAGUCAGUGGCACCUCUCCCCACUCUGCCCUUGCCAGCAUUACCUUUUAUCUGCAGCAAGGCUUUGUGGGCUAGGCUGAGUAAUGAGAUAGGUAAUGUGAUGUCCCCACAUUUCUUUAACAUCUCUUCCCAUGGUCACUGACAAACCUUUUUGCUUUUUCUAUUGUUGAGGUUUCAUUAUGAUGAACAUAAACAGUUCCCCAUUUUAUACCCACCACUGAACCUCCCUGAGACAUUCUGCUUUUUAUCCUAAGUUUCUGCAGUCUUUCUAUCCCCUCUGCUGCUCACAUGACCACAUAUUCCAGCUUGGAUUGAAACAACCUCUGUGCUUUUUGCUCAGCUGAUGUUUCCUGCCCAAGGUCCUGGUUUCUGCUUGGUGCUUUGGCCACUUGUGGCACAUCAAAGACCCCUUCUGCUACCAAAAAUUCAAACUCCUGCCUCUGUGUGCUGCCACUGCACUUCCUUAGUUUUAUUCCGCUGCUUCUUCAUGAGUAAUCAAAACCCUUUCCUUAAAUGCUCAGUGUUUUUUUGUUUUUUCUCUGCAUCCUUCCUUAUUUCCCAUUCCUUUCAUCUUCCAAUGGGGUGCAAUCUGCCCUGUUUUUUUCUCCCCUUAGUUCAAACCCCAGUGAAUAUCUAGGCAGAGCUGUUCUCCUCUCUCCACAGUUAGAUGUGGCUUGCUUUCUUCUUCUUUUAUACUUCUUUCCCUCUCUUCACAGUCAGUUUAACCACAGACGUGAAACCUCCACCGUAUUCCAUUUAGGAGCAGAGACCGUAUUGCCUGAAACCACUGCAAACCUAUAAAGUUCUGUGUUUGUUUAGCAGGAACAAAGAUUAUUUUUGCAAGAAGGUGAUGAAACAGCAAAGUUAGAGUUCUUCCAGCAGCAGAAAAUGCACAAAGGCAGGCAAUGUUUAUAGGCAGAUAAAUAUCAAAUGUAAUGCACUGAUUAAUAUUCCAGCAGGAUGGACUUUUAUGAACUGGCAUGUCAUUCUGUAGGUUUUAUUUUUAACAGAUGGGAAAGAAAAACAACAUUUGGUCUAGAGCCUCUGUCUGUCUGAAUGAGGUUUUGCUCAUUUGGGGGGCUGCAGCUAUUCUAAACAUGGCAACCUGAUUUAAUUAGCUGACCAGGAUCCUGCUUCAUCAGGGUUUUUUUUUGUGUGUGGAUAAAUGCACUCUAGCAAAACUGACAGUACUCAGAGCUCCAGACUGCUCCCGCCAAGUUUCCAUCUGAAAUGUGCAAACAAAAUAGCUGAUGAAAUAAUAGACAUGCUCACGCUGGAAACCUUUCUCUUUCCUUUUUCAGGGAAAUUGAAUAUCUAUUGAUUUAUCAUUUCUACCAGAUGGGGAUCACAGCAGUAGUUCCUCUGUGUUUUCACAAGCAGUGUCUUUCACAGAGUUUGCUUUGGUUGACAAGUUAUUUUCCUUCUGAUUUGAGUCUGCCUCUAAUGUGUGCUUUUGGGGUAUUGAUUUCACCAGCAGACAAGCUCUGAUUAUGGCUGUUGCAAGGCUGCCAAGGCCCUGCGAUGUGCAGAAGUCUCUUUGAGUUUCUUCUUCCUGAAAGGCCUAGGCUUCUUAGGGCUAGGAUGAAAAGCAUGAGACCCAUUAAGCAAAGAAGCCAAUCCUGAUGCCUAGGAGGGGUUGCAAAGGCAGUUGGAAUAAAAAGUGAUGCCAAGUCCUUUGUGCAUCUUUGUAUGUGGCACAGGUGCCACAUUGACGCAAAAUGUUUGGAGACUGUCUCCCCGAGAAAGUCUGUUGUCUUAAAUGCAAGUUCCAAUUAUAGUACAAACCCAGCAUUAGGGGCUUUUUGUUUUCAAGUGUGUUGUGCUGAGCUAGGCUUAUCAUCAAGAAGACAAGGGAAUUAACCUUGGUUUAUUAAUUUUAUGUAGACAUUAAUAGUUGCAGCAUCAGCAUUUCCUUGAUUUAGCCACGCGGGUACCACACACAGUAUAGAACUGAAGGAAUGCCAUCUGGGAAUUGAGAGCUGCCCAGUUUUUCAGUCUGCCUUCCCAAGGUUAUAUGACAUCAGUCUCUGAUCAACUGCCCUUUCUGUUGGCUAGUUUCCACCUCAAAUGAAAGGGACAUAAGUCCUGGAAAAGUAAAUUCCCCACCGAAACCCUAGAGGGAACCAAUGAGAAAAACAGAAGAAGGUGUCAGGUCUCACUGAAUCUCCUUGUCAGCAACUGGCAGGACCUCGGGGUGUAUGUUGGCUUACCAACCUGCUUAUGAAUAUUUCCAGAUUGGCUACCACACAUAUUGCUCCUUCCUGGUGUUGUCAAAGACAAAUGAGAGCAGGCAGUAGGAGUUACUGCACGUAGGAGAAGACAUUUUAUGGGAUAUCUGACACAUCCAAGGGAAAAAAAAAAAAACACAACCAUUUUUGCUGCCCAGGAAACUGUUUGGAUACUUAGCUGGUCUGGCUUGUUUUGUUUUGUUUUUCCCUCAGAAAAAGUCUGAAUUGUACUGCUUCUUUAUUCCACCAUUCUUUCCCCCUGCAUAUUUCAACUAGCUCCCCUCUGCCAUGAAGUGUUCGUGACAGAGAAAGUAAGCCAGCUGACUGAUGGCUGAGGAAGAGGUUUUCUGCAGGUUAUGGGGCCAUGUGAAGGUGAUGACAGUUACAACAGCGCUGAACUGGCAUAGAAGAUCACAGCAGACCCUGGGCUAUGUAGUUGCUCAAUCUAGUAAUUUAAAUUGCCACCUUGCUUCCCACUGUUGCAGUUUUUCAGUGUUCUUGAAAAUUAUCAUUGCAUGUAUUUACAUAUAUUUACACAUAUACAUAGGUUUAUGCCUUGCUCCCUGAACAGGAAGGUUAUUGCUUGGUCUCAUGUUUUUGACAGCAAGUGCAUCUGGAAUCCACUUCCAGCUUCUGCACGUAGGUGAUUUCCUUCUAGUAGGACACCGUGUAAUCCACACCUGGUGCAAGGGCAGAGCUACUCCACAGCUCCAGAGUACAAAAUCCUCCCUGUCCAGAUCAGCUUCUCGGAGGCUGAGGGGCCAUGUGUGUUCUAGUACUCUUCUGUUCAACCGAAGUCCUCAUUUUCUGUCUUUUUAGAAACCUGAAAAUCCUUUACCUUAGGAUGAGAAGUCUGCUUUGGUCUCAAGCCGUCUCCCAGAGUUAGAGCAGAGCAAUACAGUAUAACUGAAGCUUCGUCUUUUGUGUGCAUAGCAAUGUGGAGUUUAAUUAAAAAUCUCACUUUCUGUUAUUUUUACUGCAGAUGACUGCUUCAGUGGGUGCCCAAGAAAACAGCAGGAUAAACUAACAAAAUGAAGGAGGGCUGUAUAGUGAAAGUGUUUGUUGUCUGGAGGACUCUGGCUUCGCUUGCUGAAGAAGGCUGAAAAUGCAUAAUGAAUGAGACAGGAUACUCCAGAAAGCCAUAAAAUGGUCUCAGAGGGCAUGUUUGAUACCUCUGUGGGGAGCUAGGUUCUGUAUCUUGCUCAGCCACAGGCUUGGUUCCUAUCCCUUGAACAGAAAAGUUUACCAUACCAUGCAUGCUUCUCAGCUUCUCAUUUUUUGUAUGUGCAAGGCACGGCAGAUGGGACUAUUUUUUUAGAGAGGUGUUACCUGCAGAUGAAGUGACCGCAGCUUUGCCUAUGGAAUGAGAUAUAAAAAAGCUCAGAGUUCUAUAAAAUGAACCAGGAUCUAAGCCUGGGUAUUAAAAAUUCAUAGAUGUUUUUCAUAGGUCUAUACUGAAAUUUCCUCCGUGUUGGUACUUUGUGUGCAACAUGAGGGCAGUAAUUCCUAAGUGUCUUAGCCAAACUGUAGAGGAAUCCUUAAUAUUUUGGAGGUACAAGAUGUUGCAGUGGAAAUAUUUGUGAGGAAAACACAAAUUUUAUGCUCGAGGAAGCAAGAUUUGGAAGGCAUGAGGUAAAUAAGGAUAAGUAAUGUGUAUUAUAGCAGCAUGCUAAAAAUAAACAGAAAUAUUUAGCCAUUCACUGAGGAAGACAAGGACGUUGUAUAAAAAUAUAGUCUACAAUCAUGUAAUUAAAGCCUGCAUUGUAAUUUGAAGAAGCUGAAGUAAAGGAGCUGUGUGGGUGGCUUUAGCUCUGUUGUCUUUGUCACUGAGUUUCUGCUUUAAUAGGUAGCUUUUCAGAUGUUGUUGGAUAUGUGACAGCGUGGUAAUAACUUCCACAACACAAGUUUAACAGUGCUCUGAAAGCAAAUAUCUUGCUUUGAAACAGGUACAUUUCACUGGACAAAAUCCUCUCUUUCAUCUCAGUGCUCCUCUAUUCUCUUCACUCCCUUCUUUGGAGAAAAGAAGGCUCCAGGGAGACCUCAUUGUGGCCUUCCAAUAUUUGAAGGGAGCCUACAAACAAGAGGGGGUAUGUCUGUUUACAAAGGUGGAUAGUCAUAGGACAAGGGGGUUUUAGAGUCUCAGUUUUAAACUGAGAUGGGGGAGGUUUAGCUUAGAUAUUAGGAGAAAGUUUUUCACUCAGAGGAUGGUGACGCACUGGAACAGGUUGUCCAAGGAGGUUGUGGAUGCCCCAUCCCUGAAGGCACUAAAGGCCAGGCUAGUGGUCUGGUAGACCCUGCACAUAGCAGGGGGUUGAAACUAGAUGAUCUUUGAGGUCCUUUUCAACCUAGGCCAUUCUAUGAUUCUCCUGUUGCCACCUCCAUGGGACACCACGCGAGGGCCAGCAGCCUUUGGUUGGCCACAGGUCCUUCUGACACCUGUGACCAGGCAUUGGAGGUUCCCUGCCUCAUCUCUGUAUCUCACAGCUCCUGGAGUGGGCUGUGACAUAAAUUCCUUGCAGGGAGUACGGUGUGAUGAGGAAGCUGUGCUGGCCACCCCACUCAGCCCCACUGCCAUACCGUCUGUGGCAACAAUGGUGUGCGGUUGCAGGAGGCAGUGAUGCUGAAUGCAGGAAACCUGACGACGGUAUAUUUUACAGCAUGGCAGCUGUAACGCAGGAUCGUAAGAAACGUUUGCAUUUUGAAAUGCUUUAUCUUCCAUUUAAGGGAUAGUGUUUCUGGCAGGGAAAGAAUAUAUAAGGGUAUUAAAUGGCUUUCUUUGCAGGCAAUUAAACAAGGAAGCCGAUCAAAGACAUUUAAAUAAUUGUAACAGAUGUUUAUUGCCUGAUGCAGUUUACUGCAUCCUAUUAUUUCUGUUACAUACAGGAGAGAAGAACACAUGGCAAACUGUACCGCAAAAGAAAUUCUUUACUGCCUUGUGAGGAACGUGGCUGCUUCUCUGCCUUCUUAAUUGUAUCAUGUUGAGAACAAGUCAGUAAUAAGUAGUGUUUGGAGGGCAGAGAAGUGGCUUACUGCCUGGAGGAGCAGCAGCAAGUGGUGUGCAAAGACAUGGGGUUGAUGGUAAACACCUUUGAGACAACAGACUGCUGUGGGAUUGCUUCAAGAGUGAUGCUCAGCUCACUCACAUUAGGAAUUUCAGUUCCUCCUGAAGUUAUGCAGUUAGUACUGAGAGGGACAUCCUGGCUCAGGACAAAAGUGUUGGUGGCACUGUAAUCCUCAGUGACAUCUGGGAAUGGCCUCAGGUGGGCAACUAGGCAUCAAUAAAAGGCAAGCAUGUGACAACUCCCCCAGAUACUCCUCAAACAUUUUUGUUGUAGGGCCAGAUGUGUUUUCUUUGUCGUUAAUAACAUAAUAACAUACUUUAGUACUGUGUGUUUAAUUCUAUGUAUUUAAAAACAGAUUUUUCUUGCCUUGAAUUUAAGUGUUCAGAAUAGCCUAUGUAGGACAGUAAGUACCCUAGAGGAACCCAUGAGCUUUUCAUCACCAAUUAAAAGAAAGGGAUGUUUGUUUCCCUAAACAAUAACAAAAAAUUCUAACAAUGAUACUCCUCCCAAUCCCAAAUCCCCAUACAAAAGCCUAUAAACAUUCAAAAUCUAGGCUAGUGUCCCUCCACUUGUUUUAUCCUUGGCUUUGACUAAAAUCUGAGGCUUUUUCAGCAAACAUCUCAUAUUUUCAAAUUCAGUAAUGACUUCAUACAUCCUACUAAUAGAAAAAAAGACUUAUUGCCAUCAUUUCAGAACACAACUGGAAUAUUCAAUAUUCCCCAUCUCCCUUCCUCCCUCUUGCUGAAAGAGGAAGACUUCAGGGAGACUCUUUCUCAGAAGGAAUAACAAUUAUUUGAUGUGUUAUUCUUCCUCUACAGAUCACACCUCUCAUCUGGGGCAGAUCUUUUCUCCUCCUUGUGUCCUGACAUCAUCAUAGGCAGCAAAGUCUGCAUUAAAGACAUGAACUAAUGACACAGGCACUGCACUCUAAGAGGUGGUUCCUUCAUGGGCAAUCCACAUUGAGGUGAUGCACAGCAGGGAAGGGAGCUGGCUCCAGCACCCAUCAGGAACUGCUGAAAGGUACUCUUGCUCCUGGGUUGUCAACACAAGAUUUAGUGUGAGUUCCUGAAAGUGUCUUAACAGGCAUAGAAAGCACUGAUUCCCUCAAGUCUGCAGAAACAUGAUGCACAGCAACCAUUAGCACUGGCUUACAUUGCAGAACAAAUUCUGUGGCAGGAUGAGCCAGGUGCUAUGAUAGCUAUGAAAUAGCUAUGAAAUAGCCAUGAUGCUAUUUCAUCUGAGUGAGAGAGGGAAUGAAUUUGGGUCCUGGGGAAGCAUAGAAAGUGGAUGUUAUGCAACUCCUGAAAGAAUCAAGAGCUGUGGCUGUAGCAACUGCCAAUAAAUAUACUCAAGUACUACUCUGCUGGGAAUAUCUACAUGAGGCAUGAAGUGUGCUUACACCAAAUUACCUGAGGACCGCAUGAUGUCAGUCACAAGGAAAACAAUGCUGUGGGUCUUGUAGAUGGUCCUCAGCCUUGCUAUGACAAGAAGGUGCUGAGUGUUUGAAUGGCUCCCAUCCACUGUGAUUGCAUGAAGACAGGUGGGUCUCUGGCCAUGCCUACUCUCAACCUGCAUGGCAUGUUGUCUGACACUGGUAAGGAGUAUCUAAAAUCUACAUGAGGCAAUCAACAUCAUUUUGUGGACAAUUUUACAUUUGAAAGCAUCUCUCUGGAGCUGUUUGUCUUCAAAACAGAGAGCCCAGGAGUGUUUAUUGCCUGUAGGCUUGGCCUGGGAGAAAAUGAAACCAGCUUGAUACUGGAGACUGGGAAAUGAUACCAUUGUAUCCUGUGAAGGCAAGAUGCAAGCUGGCAUCUCCCUGCUUCCUCUCAUCUGUAACUCCAGAAGAACUGUCUUGGACACUUUGGACUAAAAUGUUUCAAUGCUUUCAGCUCAGAGCAGCAUUUGGAGACCAAGUUUUUCUUCUGGUAAAACAUAAACUACAGCACAGAAAUAGAAGUAAAACAUUUGUUUGCUCAGCUCUAGUAACGUGGUGCCGAGGCAUGCCCGCAGGUAUGCUUGUACUGUAAUUGCUGCAGCUGUUAUUCUGAAUUGAAUACUUUUCCUUGCUUGCUCCUCUUCCUCUUCAUGCACUGUAGUUUUAUAAAGCUCAAGUUGCUGAUGAUGUGCUGCACAGGAUGGUUUUGAUGUGUUGUCUGGGCAAGACUAUCUUUGACAGCUACCUUUUACUCGCUGGGAGAAACAGGUCUAGGACGUGAUUCCUGCUCCUUCUUGCUACUCUCUAAGUGUUGUUGCAGGUGAAAAGGAAACAUGCCUCGUACAUAAAGUCACUAAUUUAUUAGUAGCAUAAUAGAAAUAUCAAGUCUAAUCCAAGAAUUAUUAUUGAUGCAGAUCUGGUUAUAGAAAGAGGAGGAAUACUAUGAAGAAAAGUCUCGGUAAUAACAUGGUUCAGGUUGUUACGUGUUUAACAUCCUAGUUUCUACACCUUUUUUUUGUGCAAUGCUUACACUUCCAGUGGGCCCAUGUAACAUCAAAAUUUACUGUUAAUAUUGCCUUUUGUUUGUGCUAGCUACUAUGUCUCUAUUCUCUUCAUUAUAAAACUGGUUUUGUCCAGCUCCAGCCUUGCAUUUCUUUAAAUGAACACUGGUGGGUUUUUUAUAACCAUGGGAUCACCAAUGCCAGCCUGUGCUGCUUCUGUUACCAUCCUAGGUCUGUGCUGCUCCUCACCAUGUCCUGUGGCUCUGCCUCACAAGGUUCUCUAUAAUGUAUCAUUAUGUUAGAUUAAUAAAUAUCCCAUUCUUUAUAUAAUCACUGCUUGUUACUGCGGUCUAUAUAAAGUCAUGGUUGCAGCCUGUAAAGAUAAACAAAAGUAUAGUAAGCUAUCUAUAGCCUCCUUGUAAUCUGAAAAAAAAACUGCUAUUACAGAUGAACCAAGUAAAAUAAGCUGCAGGUGGGUCAUGAGAAGACCAGGCAUAGCCAGCCUGGAGAGCCUCUGUUGAGGCCUUGCAAGCUUGGUACAGAGUUUGUGGCUUGUUCCUAGCACUGGCAAUACUGAUUUCUUGUGCUCUCAUGAGCUUCCUUAUUUGUUUUGAUGAUGCUUCUGAGUUGCUCUGAUCUAAUGGCACUUGCCCUUUCCUGGUUCAGUAUUUCUUUCACAUUUUUUUUCUGUUACGUGGGGUCUGCAGGAUAAAUACCACUGGGUGGGAGAUGGGUAGGGAAAGGAGGAAGGUGAGCAAAGGAGAAUCAGUCCACCCCAGCAGUGGGAUGAGGAUCAUCAUCUCCACUUCUCAGCACAAACAGAUUUUACUAAACUUCCUGUAAGUUUGUCAAGAGUCCUCUUAGUGGUCUUUGACCUUCUGCUUGUCCUGGCCAUCUUAGAGUGUAGGAGCUCAACAAAAUCUCUCUCCUCUGCUUCCUGACUACUCAAGGCAUCCUUCCUGGAAAGAAUGAAUCACUCCCCAAGUGUCAUAGGAAAGACCAUAAGCUUUCCUUAAAGCUAAAGAAAUUCCAGUGUAAUUUCUCAGCUCCAGUGUGGGUCACUCCCUGGCACACCAGCGGCUUUCUUCAUGAACAGAAACCACUCUGCAUAAAUUGCGAUGGCAGAAAUGGGCCCGAGCAAACAAAGACAAUAUGAAUUUGGCUAAAUAAUGUAGAGACAUAAAUUUAAGGACAAAGGUGAACUGAAAAGCCUCCCAUCAGAGGUUGUCUGCACCUGCCCAUGCCAGCUCCAAAGGGGACUCUGCACCAGGGUGUCUUGCCCUUGGUCAGCUUUUCAGCUACACCCAACAAAAUCCUGUACUUCUGGAGCAUACCAGAGCAUUCCCACUUGCAGCUCCUUACCAAGUGAUAUGUGCAGAUCCCACCUUUGCCAAAUCCACUGCAAAUGUUUCCUGUUGAGACCCAGAGUCUCUCUUGGAGGCCCUGGGCCAGCUCUGGGGUCCACCUCACUGAUUGAACUCAGUGGGGUCACCCUGAGGACCAGCAGAUGGUAUCUGGCUUUUAGCUUCCUUCCAAUCUACCGUUGUCACAACUUGAAAACAAGCUAAAAACUGCUUUUCAUAAUUUCUUUCUUAGGCAAAACUCUUAGCAACAACCUUUUUGUGUGUUAGAAGGCAAUAAUCAAAUCACUCUGGCCUUUUGCUGAAGCAGAACAAAUCCAUGGCUGUGUUCCCAGCUGUAAACAAAGGUAAGCAGAUGUGGGACUGUGGUCAUCUCCUUCCCAGCAGGAGGGAUUAUCAGCACAACUCCAUAAAUAAUGAAAAUGUAAAUGGGGCAUAAAAUUCAUUUUUAGAAGAAGCUGGAGGCACUUUGUGUGCCACUUCUGAAGUUUUGGUGGAGAGUUCUCCCUGUCUCACCUUAUAAAAGUUGAGUGAUUUUCUUCUUGGUGAAUAUUUAAUAACUUUCAUGUGCUUACCUGAUCCCCUCUCCUCCUCCCCUCCUUCCUUCCUUUUGUAUUCUUUUCAGUGUUGUGCUUGCUUACUUCUUAAAAUGAUGAGUUCUUUUACCAUCCACCCCUACUUUCCAUGUCUAACUAUCUUUCCCCUUCUUUCUUCUUCCUCUCUCCUAUUCAGACUGUUUUGUAUCCUGCAGGAUCUCUCAGCUGCACACUGGCGCCUUCCCCAGAUCCUAUUGCAGCCUUUGGGCAUCACCUCUUGUGCUUGGUUAUGAGUUUUCAGAAGCAGUGUCAGAGUAGCUGUCAGGAGGGAUGCUGAAAAUAUUAGAAAUUCAUGGAAACUACUGUUGUAUUCUCAGUUCGGGUCUCAUCACUGAGCAUAGAAGAUGGUGUGUAUUACUAUUCUCUAUGUACAUCUUCAUUAUCGUUGCCAUCUGCAGAUAAUUUUAGAGACUUAUUCUGUUCUUGAGAGGAAAAAAAAGAAAAGCAGAACAAUCCACUCUGCUGCAAGGCUGCUAGUCCUGACAUAGUGUUGAUGGUGGUAGAUUUCAUAUCAAAACAGCAUCUGCCUUGCAAACAAGGAGCAGCUGGGCACUGGGUGCACCCAGGAGGAGAUGGAGCUUCCCCUGGCACGGGUUCCCUCCCUGCAAGUUGUGGGGCCACUCCAGAGAUGGCCCUGGGGGAUGGGCUUUCCUCAUCUGCACAAACACUCUGCCUAUUCCUUUUCUGGGAUGAGGAAGCUGCUGAGCACCUAUUCUUGAUCCUUAUGUGAACAUCAUGUCACAUGAGGGAUGCUCCUACCACAGGUGGCAUGUAUACAGCAGUGGAUUUUGUUGUUUUUUUUUUUUUACAUACGGGACUAGGGAGCUCCUGGUGACUGUAGAUAGACCCCAGAAGAUCUCAGGCUCAUCUCCAUGAGGAACCUCUGCUGGAAGGUUGGUAAGGGGUUAACAUGUUUUUGAGUCUUUGAGUGACUUUUAAGGCUUCAUUCAGUGAUUCUGACAGUGUGAAGUCCUAGCGUUUUGGGGAGGGGAAAGUAUAACUGCACAGCAAACUUGGUAGAAGUGUCUGGAGCUGCUGCUGAAUUCAUUGAAACCAGUUGGGUUUUGGCAUUUAUUGAGGAAGGUAGAAGUAACAAAACGAGUGUAUGGCUCUCUUUAAAUGAGCCAUGUAAUGAGACUUCCUCUUACCCAUGAGUGGCAUGAGCUUUCAGAAGAGUCACCACUUGGAAGAACUGUUUGGAAAUCCCAUGAUGCAUGAGCUCUGCUUUGUGAAAGGUUGGCAGCUAGCAUGGGAUUUUGCAGAGGCUGCUUCCAGACAUCCAGGAGGCACGUUCUUGUCAGAGGGCACAGGUUUGCACUGGCACAGCACUCUGUCUUGGCCACAAGCAGUGUCCCUGGCAACUGGCUGCUCCCAAGAGUGUGCCCUGUCACUGGGCAUUGUAACCCAUGGGACAAAGAGCAUCAGUGCCAUGUUACUGUGAGAGCACUCAGGACUGUGGCAGUCCUGUCCCCUGAGAAAUCAGGUUGACGUUUCUCAUGGUUCAAACUGGGGGGGAAAGUGGUGACUAUUUCUGUGGAAUGUAAAUUAAAGAAAGAUAUGUUUGGAAAUACUGCUGAGUCCUGAUCAUCUCAGGGUUGCUUCAUCUUUUUUUUCCCUUUUUUUUUUCUUUGUCUUUGUAGGCAUGUCAGAAUAUUGAAUAGCAUGAAGUUUUAUAAAAUAGAUAUGCAAAAUUUCAAAACAUGGCAGCAAGCAGAAAUUUAGGCCAAUAAUAUGAUAAAGGCAAAAUGAUGCAUUUAAAUAUUAUUCAAAUGAAGUGAAGUAGCUAGAACCUCUCUGCCCAAUUUCUUCUCUGUCAAACUUGUUAGGCACUAACAUGUUCCUAUGAACAUAUUUUCAUUUUGACCAAAAAGGCUUUUUUUUUUUUCUUUUUUAUCCAUCAGAGAUUGUCUUGUUGAUAAAUUUUAUAUGGUUCUACUUCUGCAUCUGUGACACAUCAUGUUCUACAUCAUAUCCUCCCAAAAGCUGAUGAGGAUACCGCCUCUGCAGGAGACAGUCCCUUUUUCUGAGUGAACAGUAGGGCUUUUCCUCAAGAGUGGGGUUGGGAGAAAAAAACUGCUUUGAUCCAAUCCAGAACGACAACAUCCUGUUGUCCUCUUGUUGAAACGAAAAACAUUAUAAAUUGGAAGCAAAAAAAAAAAAAUUGCUCUACUCAAAUCAUUUAACUUUAUUUCUGUUCUGAGCAUCCGUUGGCCAAAGUGAGACAAUUGCAGCAAAUGCUGGGUUUAGGCACAUCUCACAGGUUCCUGUGAAUUGUGGUAGCCAUUUAGCACAUACAGAUGAACAUUAAGACACCUCCUUUGGUGCCUGCAGCACUCAUUGCUGGGAGCCCUUGGAGAACCCAGUUUAACCUUGUCUUUCAUUGGGCGGCAUUUACAUCCACGUGCCCCUGGAGACUUCCCUAAUGCCAUGAAUUGGGCAGUAUCCUGGGAUGGAAAAAUGCCAUUUCUCACAUUGAUGGUUUCCAGUAGCUAUAAAGCACUCCAAUGUUUAUUGGAACAAAGGCUGGAACAUAAGGGUUUCUCCUCUGAGCCCAGUGCCCUCAACAGAUGACGACUGAACUGGCUCAUCAAAUGUUUUAGUCUUUGUGGAAAUUAUAUCAAUUCCAUCAGGAGAAAAUGAGGAAAAUUUACCUCUGAGUGCCCAGAACCAAGCUGGUAAUAUUACUGCCCAAAAAGCUCUGGGAGUCCUGGUUACAGUCAUCUCCUCUAGUCUGGCAGACCUGACUCCAGGUUUGAUGUCAUCCAGGCAUCUUUGAUUUCUUUUUUGUGCUCACAGGGGAAUAGAGAGAAGGAUGGCAAGGGGGUCCCCAGUGUGUUCACGGGAGAAGCAGCAGAUUUAAAAUAUAUUUGCAAUACUAGCGAACAAAAAUGUUUGCUCUACAUGCAAUCCCCAGCAGUUUCUCCUGCCCUUGGAGGCAGACGGAGUGAAACUCUCGGUGUUGUCUCCUGGUCUUUGCCUCCUUCCCUGUUUUUGCACUGGCUAAUGCCCAGAUGAGUCAACCUCUGCAGUCACGUUAAGUAACAUGAUGUGGAGGUCUGUAGAACAGGAUUUGGUGUCAAGGAGGGAAACAGGGAGUGCUGAUUUAAGGUCCCUGCAGCUCUCAUUUCAUGUCAUGAAAGAGAAAGCAGAGAACAGAGUUGCAACUCAGGGACACAGAGCCAUGUGGUGCGUGUGCUGAAGGAGAGCUGCUUGCUGAAACAAAUCUCGUGGUUAAUGACUAGCACCAGGAGUUACAUCUGAAGUUACCAGUUGACAGUGCUCGGCACACAUUGAUAAAACUCCAGGGAGGUGACUUGUCUUGCCUGAUGCCAUUUUUUAGGUCAUGUAAUACGAGAUCUGGGAACAGAGGGGGAAAUAAUUUGUCUGUGUUAAUAAAAGCUUACAGACCUCUGUGGAUUUACAUGCCUCUUUGCAAACUUAGAUGUGUUUCUUACCUCAGGGAGUUUAUAUCUCCAAACCUUUCACAGGAAGCCCACUGAAUAAAUUCAGUUAGUUAUUUGGACAGGAUCAGUGGUGAGAUGAGAGUCAUCUAGCUCUGACUUUAGAAGUGAAUUGGAAGUCAACACCUGCAUGAGGUAAAUUUGAAGCAUUAUGCAAACUUACUUGUUUAAGCUCCUGACUAAGAAGCUUUUUUGUUUGCUUCCUUAUUUUUGUCAUGAUUUCCUCUUUGUACCAGAAACAUGCAAAAUGGUGCUGCUUUCUGCAGCUGGCCCCUGCUGUGCCUGACCAGUAGGGCUGCAAGUAGGCAGACAUCUGCUAAGCGCCAUGACACAUGAUUGCUGGAGCUGAGCAGCAAGGAGGAGCCCAGGCAGACCAUCCACUAUAGCAGAACUGAAUUUUUGCCAUCCUCAAGAAUCUGGAAAAGCAAAGACCUGGCACUGACUGUGCUUAAGGCAGUGACUUUGUAGUCUUUGUCAGGGUGCUGCCUGAGGCUAGCUUCUGCUUGGGUUACACCAAAGGGAGGAAGGUCUGCAUGAGUUCUUUAGGGACCUCUAAUGAAUAUUAAGGGCUUUAGCAAUAUGAAACUUGCUUGAUUUUUGGGUCUGAGUGAAGUGUUGCUAUGCUGUGGUGAACCUGAACUUUGCUUCCUUGGUCCAAAGGCCUUUCCACGCCUUAAAAUAGAAAGAAGGGAGUUGUGUUCAGUUAAGUGAAAGGCACAUUACCUUGGACCCAUCUUUGUAACAAGCUGCUCCCGAAUUGCAGUUCCAAUCAGAUCCAGAGACUAAAGUUGUAGCUGGAGCCCAUUGACAUCAUUAAUGGAAGUGUUUCAUUUAAAGCAGCAAGGAGCUGGCUGGCUGUAGUUGUGAGAAGCACCUCUUGCUGUUAGCAGGCAUUGGUCCUGCUGCGAAGGGGUUAAAUGAAUUCUGCCGGCCCUGGGGAAUGGGGAACUCAUUAUUUUCUUGGAGCAGGGAGGGGAGAGGGGAGGAAAGCUGAAGCCAGAGACAGAGAAAAGCCUUACAAUGAGGCCUCCCAGCUGCCCUUGGUAUAGGGUGCAGGACAAAGGGCUAGGAGGGCUGGGGCAGGCUCCAAGCUGGGCACGCACUGGCAAGUGGGCCCUGGCCAUUCAUGGCUGGCAUGGGGGCUAUGUGCCCAGAGGUGAUGCUGGACAGGUGGUUUGAGUUCAGUUAGCUGAACCUGUUGUCUGCACUUUUGCUGAGUUCUGUGGGAGCACUGGCUGAACCAGCGCCUGCUCAGCCAGCACACUCUGUUGCCUGACCUGCAUGGCCAUGUUGCUCACGUCAGCUGUGGGGUGACUCAGUCAGGGGUGGCAGUGAGAGCUCCAGUCUUGUCUUCUGCUGGGCUGACCCUUGACCUGAGCUUGAAUGGAAAGUGCUUCAUUAAUUUGGACUUCUUUUUUCUCCUAAAAAUUCUGUCACUUUAAAAGAUUUCAUUUCACUAGGAUUCAUAGAAAUCAAGAGGUACAGCUUCCUAACAUCCUUUAUUUUCUGACUUAAUGGCUUUUAGAGCUGCAUUACAGCCAAAAAGAAAGAGGAUGAGAGAAAAGUGUUAAUGUAGGAGCAAAGAAGGUCACUGGGAAACCUGGCUGCACAUUCAGAGAGAGAUUUUCCUGUGUCCAGGGAGUCUAGAGCCAAUGCUAAGGACAGCCCUUGAAGAUGUCAACAGACAAAAGAGAAAUAAGCCUAAAUCUAAAUCCUGGUCUUAAUAUACUGAAACCUCUGGGAAUCCAGAUCUAGCUCCACUCAGGUGCAUUGCAUUUCAUAGGCAGGGCAGAGACAGAGUUUUGGUUUAUUUUUUUCCCCUCUUUUUCCUGAGGAAAGGAAACAAAAGGGAACACUUUGGGUCACCCUAAUGAACCAGAUUAUGACAUUGUUUUAGCACUGUUUUACCUAACAUCUCAAGUAAGAUGUUAGGCAGCCUGAGGCACUUGUAGGUCAUGGUGCCCCCAAGCACCACCCGGAGCACCCACCUCUGCCCACAGGGCAGGGCCUCCAGCCCAGCACCCCGCCUAGUCCCACCCAAGCUGUGCUCCUUGGGCCCCUCCUCCUGGACGACCUUGGGCCCACAUCACAGCCUGGGUUUCUGCACCAUCUGUUGCUAAUCCUGUCUGAAACCAUCUAAACCCUGGUCCUGACUCACCCC
RNAcentral lists this long non-coding RNA (24182 nucleotides) under Gallus gallus (chicken). RNAcentral's name for it is "lncRNA (ENSGALG00010008992.1)". Lineage: Eukaryota; Metazoa; Chordata; Aves; Galliformes; Phasianidae. The record is from RNAcentral.